RNAcentral lists this ribosomal RNA (435 nucleotides) under uncultured Oscillospiraceae bacterium. Its description in RNAcentral is "bacterial SSU rRNA". It matches the Rfam family "Bacterial small subunit ribosomal RNA", at positions 341 to 792 of the family's 1533-position model. Lineage: Bacteria; Bacillati; Bacillota; Clostridia; Eubacteriales; Oscillospiraceae. The record is from RNAcentral.
ACGGGAGGCAGCAGUCGGGAAUAUUGCGCAAUGGAGGAAACUCUGACGCAGUGACGCCGCGUGCAGGAAGAAGGUUUUCGGAUUGUAAACUGCUUUAGACAGGGAAGAAACAAGACAGUACCUGUAGAAUAAGCUCCGGCUAACUACGUGCCAGCAGCCGCGGUAAUACGUAGGGAGCAAGCGUUAUCCGGAUUUAUUGGGUGUAAAGGGUGCGUAGACGGGAAAUUAAGUUAGUUGUGAAAUCCCUCGGCUCAACUGAGGAACUGCAACUAAAACUGGUUUUCUUGAGUGCAGGAGAGGAAAGUGGAAUUCCUAGUGUAGCGGUGAAAUGCGUAGAUAUUAGGAGGAACACCAGUGGCGAAGGCGACUUUCUGGACUGUAACUGACGUUGAGGCACGAAAGUGUGGGGAGCAAACAGGAUUAGAUACCCUUGUA